RNAcentral lists this ribosomal RNA (253 nucleotides) under uncultured bacterium. RNAcentral's name for it is "partial 16S ribosomal RNA". It matches the Rfam family "Bacterial small subunit ribosomal RNA", at positions 524 to 776 of the family's 1533-position model. The record is from RNAcentral.
UACGAAGGGGGCUAGCGUUGCUCGGAAUCACUGGGCGUAAAGCGCACGUAGGCGGAUUUGUAAGUCAGGGGUGAAAUCCCGGGGCUCAACCUCGGAACUGCCUUUGAUACUGCAAAUCUCGAGUCCGGAAGAGGUGAGUGGAAUUCCUAGUGUAGAGGUGAAAUUCGUAGAUAUUAGGAAGAACACCAGUGGCGAAGGCGGCUCAGUGGUCCGGUACUGACGCUGAGGUGCGAAAGCGUGGGGAGCAAACAGG